Molecule: ribosomal RNA, 787 nt
Filed under: uncultured bacterium
Lineage: Bacteria
Description: bacterial SSU rRNA
Rfam family: Bacterial small subunit ribosomal RNA
Source: RNAcentral
AGAGUUUGAUCAUGGCUCAGGACGAACGCUGGCGGCGUGCUUAACACAUGCAAGUCGAACGGAAAGGCCCUGCUUGCAGGGUGCUCGAGUGGCGAACGGGUGAGUAACACGUGGGUGAUCUGCCCUGCACUUCGGGAUAAGCUUGGGAAACUGGGUCUAAUACCGGAUAGGACCACGCGCUGCAUGGUGUGUGGUGGAAAGUUUUUGCGGUGUGGGAUGGGCCCGCGGCCUAUCAGCUUGUUGGUGGGGUGAUGGCCUACCAAGGCGACGACGGGUAGCCGGCCUGAGAGGGUGUCCGGCCACACUGGGACUGAGAUACGGCCCAGACUCCUACGGGAGGCAGCAGUGGGGAAUAUUGCACAAUGGGCGCAAGCCUGAUGCAGCGACGCCGCGUGGGGGAUGACGGCCUUCGGGUUGUAAACCUCUUUCACCAUUGACGAAGGCCUGGGUUUUCUCGGGUUGACGGUAGGUGGAGAAGAAGCACCGGCCAACUACGUGCCAGCAGCCGCGGUAAUACGUAGGGUGCGAGCGUUGUCCGGAAUUACUGGGCGUAAAGAGCUCGUAGGUGGUUUGUCGCGUUGUUCGUGAAAUUCCCUGGCUUAACUGGGGGCGUGCGGGCGAUACGGGCAGACUGGAGUACUGCAGGGGAGACUGGAAUUCCUGGUGUAGCGGUGGAAUGCGCAGAUAUCAGGAGGAACACCGGUGGCGAAGGCGGGUCUCUGGGCAGUAACUGACGCUGAGGAGCGAAAGCGUGGGGAGCGAACAGGAUUAGAUACCCCGGUAGUCC